AAGUACCAAUAGGCUAUGGCUACUCCAUUCAAUCUAUCAAUGUUGAUUCCUUCGUGUUGCUGAAGAAGUAAAAGCAUUGCAAAGAGAAACUAGAUUCAUGAGGUGAAGCUAUUCCAAAAUGAUCGCGCUGGCUUUCUCUGUCAAUUGCAUUACAGGCUUCAGAUGAAAAUAACAAGAAGAAAGAUGUGAUGUUAAAUAUGUUUUUGGCAGAUUGGAGAAAUAUGGGAGAUCUAGAUGUUACAAAGUAAAGGAUUAGGAAGUUGUAGAGGAUGCAUAUGAGUUUUGUAACCUUUAAUUUUGAAGAAGCAAAAAUGUUCAACAAGUAAAGGAGUUUCAGUUUAAGGGGGUGCAGAUUGAAUGUAUGUUGGCAAAUUGGUAGUUUGGAGAAAUCUGGGAAAUUUGGAUUUUGCAAAGGUUAAUUGUGUUACAUAUGUUUUUGCAGAAUUUGUUGAGUUGAAUAGAUACUGAAUCGAGCAGUAGAGUGUAGUACGUGUAGAGGAGUAAUGCAGAUUGAAUGUGUAUUGGCAAUUUGGCAAUUUGGAGAAAUAUAGGAAAUGUGGAUUUUACAAAGGUUGAUUGUGUUACAUUUGUUUUUGCAGAUGUGUUAUUAACUGUGUUUUUGGCAGAUUAAAGUAAUUUGGGAAUUUGCAAAUGUGCUGUUAAAUAUGUUUUUG
Pistacia vera is the source of this 674-nucleotide long non-coding RNA. RefSeq lists it as uncharacterized. The record is from RefSeq and is a predicted model, not a curated record. Lineage: Eukaryota; Viridiplantae; Streptophyta; Magnoliopsida; Sapindales; Anacardiaceae. The transcript is spliced from 3 exons.